Molecule: ribosomal RNA, 490 nt
Filed under: Streptocerus speciosus
Lineage: Eukaryota; Metazoa; Arthropoda; Insecta; Coleoptera; Lucanidae
Description: eukaryotic LSU rRNA
Rfam family: Eukaryotic large subunit ribosomal RNA
Source: RNAcentral
AGCAUGUGCGCGAGUCAUUGGGACAAGCCUAAAGGCGAAAUGAAAGUGAAGGUCAGUCUAGGACCGAGGGAGGAUGGGUCCGGACACGGACCCCGCACUCCCGGGGCGUCCCGUUCUCAUCGCGAGAAGGGGCGCACCCAGAGCGUACACGCUGGGACCCGAAAGAUGGUGAACUAUGCCUGGUCAGGACGAAGUCAGGGGAAACCCUGAUGGAGGUCCGUAGCGAUUCUGACGUGCAAAUCGAUCGUCGGAACUGGGUAUAGGGGCGAAAGACUAAUCGAACCAUCUAGUAGCUGGUUCCCUCCGAAGUUUCCCUCAGGAUAGCUGGCGCUCGCCGCUGGCGAGUCUCAUCCGGUAAAGCGAAUGAUUAGAGGCAUUGGGGUCGAAACGGCCUCAACCUAUUCUCAAACUUUAAAUGGGUGAGAUCUCCGGCUUGCUCGAACGUGAAGCCGCGAGAUUUCGGAUCAGAGUGCCAAGUGGGCCACUUUUG